CAGCCGCCGCGGGAAUACGUAGGGUGCGAGCGUUGUCCGGAAUUAUUGGGCGUAAAGAGCUUGUAGGCGGUCUGUCGCGUCUGCUGUGAAAACCCGAGGCUCAACCUCGGGCCUGCAGUGGGUACGGGCAGACUAGAGUGCGGUAGGGGAGAACGGAACUCCUGGUGUAGCGGUGGAAUGCGCAGAUAUCAGGAAGAACACCGAUGGCGAAGGCAGUUCUCUGGGCCGUAACUGACGCUGAGAAGCGAAAGCGUGGGGAGCGAACAGGAUUAGAUACCCCAGUAGUCCCUGUCUCUUAUAC
RNAcentral lists this ribosomal RNA (301 nucleotides) under uncultured bacterium. RNAcentral describes it as "partial 16S ribosomal RNA". It matches the Rfam family "Bacterial small subunit ribosomal RNA", at positions 509 to 807 of the family's 1533-position model. The record is from RNAcentral.